Molecule: unclassified non-coding RNA, 273 nt
Filed under: Hevea brasiliensis (rubber tree)
Lineage: Eukaryota; Viridiplantae; Streptophyta; Magnoliopsida; Malpighiales; Euphorbiaceae
Source: RNAcentral
UGAGCAUCGUUCGUUUGUGAUAUCUGCUGAGUAGGUUGUAAUGUUUGUUCAUUUUAGUGAUGUGUUAUUUUUAGUGGACAACUAUCGUUUCAUACUUUCAAACCCGUUGCCGCUAGAAUUACGAGGAAGAUGUAUGAUGUCUGUCGACUAGUCCUCUUCUUCAGGCUUUGACUAGGGCCCUGGUUUGCUACUAACAUGACCACUGUUUGUGGGUGGGGUUGUAAGUUUUGUUAGAUUGCGAACUCAUUUUAGAAGGUAUUUUUUUGUUAGGGG